AAGGCUGGGCCCCCGCUCCGC
This 21-nucleotide microRNA is filed under the name Bos taurus (domestic cattle). RNAcentral's name for it is "bta-miR-940". Its record names the gene bta-miR-940. The record is from miRBase by way of RNAcentral. Lineage: Eukaryota; Metazoa; Chordata; Mammalia; Artiodactyla; Bovidae.